GAUCAUGGCUCAGGAUGAACGCUAGCUACAGGCUUAACACAUGCAAGUCGAGGGGCAGCAUUUCAGUUUGCUUGCAAACUGGAGAUGGCGACCAGNGCACGGGUGAGUAACACGUAUCCAACCUGCCGAUAACUCGGGGAUAGCCUUUCGAAAGAAAGAUUAAUACCCGAUAGUAUAAUUAGACCGCAUGGUCUUAUUAUUAAAGAAUUUCGGUUAUCGAUGGGGAUGCGCUCCAUUAGG
RNAcentral lists this ribosomal RNA (240 nucleotides) under uncultured bacterium. RNAcentral's name for it is "partial 16S ribosomal RNA". It matches the Rfam family "Bacterial small subunit ribosomal RNA", at positions 15 to 245 of the family's 1533-position model. The record is from RNAcentral.